UGGGGAAUAUUGCACAAUGGGCGCAAGCCUGAUGCAGCCAUGCCGCGUGUAUGAAGAAGGCCUUCGGGGUGUAAAGUACUUUCAGUCGGGAGGAAGGUGUCAAGGUUAAUAACCUUGGCAAUUGACGUUACCGACAGAAGAAGCACCGGCUAACUCCGUGCCAGCAGCCGCGGUAAUACGGAGGGUGCAAGCGUUAAUCGGAAUUACUGGGCGUAAAGCGCACGCAGGCGGUCUGUCAAGUCGGAUGUGAAAUCCCCGGGCUCAACCUGGGAACUGCAUUCGAAACUGGCAGGCUAGAGUCUUGUAGAGGGGGGUAGAAUUCCAGGUGUAGCGGUGAAAUGCGUAGAGAUCUGGAGGAAUACCGGUGGCGAAGGCGGCCCCCUGGACAAAGACUGACGCUCAGGUGCGAAAGCGUGGGGAGCAAACAGG
This 429-nucleotide ribosomal RNA is filed under the name Chloroflexota bacterium. Its description in RNAcentral is "Chloroflexi bacterium partial 16S ribosomal RNA". It matches the Rfam family "Bacterial small subunit ribosomal RNA", at positions 355 to 776 of the family's 1533-position model. Lineage: Bacteria; Bacillati; Chloroflexota. The record is from RNAcentral.